GGUGGUAUGGCGGAAUUGGUAGACGCUAAGGUUUGUGACUAUCGAGAGAAUGUAGUUUUGUCCUUUCCUAUUUGGAAUUUCAGCAACUCAUGCGGGUUCGAGUCCCGCUACCAUCA
This 116-nucleotide transfer RNA is filed under the name Parabacteroides distasonis. RNAcentral describes it as "tRNA-OTHER". It matches the Rfam family "tRNA". Rfam says of the family: Transfer RNA (tRNA) molecules are approximately 80 nucleotides in length. The record is from RNAcentral. Lineage: Bacteria; Pseudomonadati; Bacteroidota; Bacteroidia; Bacteroidales; Tannerellaceae. RNAcentral also lists the same sequence under 1 other name.